Molecule: long non-coding RNA, 1923 nt
Filed under: Macaca mulatta (Rhesus monkey)
Lineage: Eukaryota; Metazoa; Chordata; Mammalia; Primates; Cercopithecidae
Description: lncRNA (ENSMMUG00000056357.1)
Source: RNAcentral
AGUGGAAAGAGUUUCAUCUAUGGUCCUUGGGCCUCUUAUUAGUAUGUGGCAGCUUCAACAUAGAAAAGGAUAUAAACUGCAGAUAUGGUACCAUAGAAACAAACAGUGACCUGAAUGACCAAUUUGGGAGGCACUUUCAUGGGAAACAACGUUGUCCUGGAACUCUCAAUUCAGACAAGACCAUUGUCAGGCAGGCAUCCAGUAACCUUUAUCCUUUUCAUUUAUUAAUCCCAUAUCCAAUGGGUGGUAAUUUAAUAAGAGUUGCCCACUAUUAUUUAAUUUUUAAUGAGCCCAACAUAUCUGACUCUCAAAACAUUAAAUCUCAGUAUUUGUUUCAACGUUCUGUGUCUUACUGUAUUGAGAAGAUAUUUCUGGUAAAAUCAAUUAAUUAAAAGUCACGAGGGGUCUGUCAUUCUGAAUCUUGAGCCAACAUGUGCCAUAUAAACACGAUUAAUAAAGAAAACCACCCUGGAGUAAAAGAGGUCAAUUGCUGCAUCAUGACAUUAAAAAUUGGAAUGUGACAUGUCAACAACUUUAAUUGAGUUAAGUGUUCCAUGAAAAGAAUAAAAUAAGUCAAAAUGAGAAACAAGCUUCUUCAUUAUUUCCAAAAUUGUUGAUGCAGGAAUUUUUUUUUUUUUUUUAAUGCGGGAGUAUUUCACAUCUCUGAAAUAACAUCAAAGUGUCAGUUGAUCUCUCUGAAAAAGAAUAUUAAACACCUCCAUCAAUAGAAAGGCUAAAACUUGAUGAGAUAUUUAUAGGAUCUUCAGUAAUUCCUGCUCUUUUUAAUUUUAAAAAGGUUAAUAAUAAUAAAUUCAACAAGAGAAUUUUAGAAGGUAUAAUUAUUUAUAAAUCCUAAAGAGGAUUUUUUCAAAAAGUGUGGGCUACUUUGCCUUUUAUUAAUCUGUUUCCCAACCAUCUUUCUCCACUUAUUAAAAAUGUAACUUUUUAUUUAAAAGAAACUACACAUUUGCAUAGCAUAAGAUGUGUAGAACUUGAGCGUUCCAGUUUGAUGGGUUUUGACAGUUGCGUAUGCUUGCAGAAAGAGGAUGCUUCACCAUCCCAGAAAGUUUCCUCAGGAUCCUUUCUAAGUAAUCCCCUUUCUUUUUUUUUUUUUUUUCUUUGAGACAGAGUCUUGCUCUGUCGCCCAGGCUGGAGUGCAGUGGCCGGAUCUCAGCUCACUACAAGCUCCGCCUCCCGGGUUUACGCCAUUCUCCUGCCUCAGCCCCCCGAGUAGCUGGGACUACAGGCGCCCGCCACCUCGCCCGGCUAGUUUUUUGUAUUUUUUAGUAGAGACGGGGUUUCACCGUGUUAGCCAGGAUGGUCUCGAUCUCCUGACCUCGUGAUCCGCCCGUCUCGGCCUCCCAAAGUGCUGGGAUUACAGGCUUGAGCCACCGCGCCCGGCCAGUAAUCCCCUUUCUACCAGUAAAUACAACUACUUUCUUAUUUCUACCACCAAAGAUGAGUUUUAUCUGAUUUAGAAUUUCAAUCAAAUGGAAUUGUACAAUAUGUACUUAAAACAGUGUUCUUGAGAUUCACCAGUGUGUCUGUGGAAAUAGUCUGUAUCAGUAGUUUGUUCGUUUUUAUCGCUGAUUAGUAUUCCAGUGUGUGGAUAUAGCACAAUUUGUUUUUCUGUUUUCAUAUUGAUAGACAUUUGGAUUGUUUCCAAUUUUUGUCUCACACCUUCAGAAGCUACUCUGUUAAAUUUCACUUCAUAGACAUGCAUGACCUUUUACCCUGCUGCUCUCCCACAUGAGCAGCCAAUGCUGUUUCUUGAUUCGUCUGAAGUGGUUGGGUAAUUUUAAAUGAGUAAUGGAAACAAAACAUGUUUGGCAUUGAUGAAGAAUUUAACUAUGGCUGUUAAUGCUUUAGAACCAUUGUACUUUCUUUAAAAGAAGCAUAAUUUAUUAGAGUUCCUGUUGAACA